RNAcentral lists this ribosomal RNA (468 nucleotides) under uncultured bacterium. RNAcentral's name for it is "partial 16S ribosomal RNA". It matches the Rfam family "Bacterial small subunit ribosomal RNA", at positions 28 to 507 of the family's 1533-position model. The record is from RNAcentral.
GACGAACGCUGGCGGCGUGCUUAACACAUGCAAGUAGAACGGAAAGGCCAUGCUUUUGUGGGGUGCUCGAGUGGCGAACGGGUGAGUAACACGUGAGUAACCUGCCCUUGACUUUGGGAUAACUUCAGGAAACUGGGGGUAAUACCGGAUAGGAGCUCCUGCUGCAUGGUGGGGGUUGGAAAGUUUCGGCGGGUGGGGAUGGACUCGCGGCUUAUUAGCGUGUUGGUGGGGUAGUGGCUUACCAAGGCUUUGACGGUUAGCCGGCCUGAGAGGGUGACCGGCCCCAUUGGGACUGAGAUACGGCCCAGACUCCUACGUGAGGCAGCAGUGGGGAAUUUUGCACAAUGGGCGGAAGCCUGAUGCAGCAACGCCGCGUGCGGGAUGACGGCCUUCGGGUUGUAAACCGCUUUCGCCUGUGACGAAGCGUGAGUGACGGUAAUGGGUAAAGAAGCACCGGCUAACUACGUG